CAUGGCCAGCUUUCUGAUAUCACCACCUUCUGCCACCACCACCUUUCCGGGAACAAGAGACAGAAGCACACUCAUGCUACAUUUGGAGCCCCUGCACUAUAACAUGGAUGGCAGAGAAAUUGUGGAAAACAUGGUUGUGACCUUUCCAGGAAGAGGAUCAUUCACACCCAUGCUGGAAUCUCCCUGUCUUUUUUGUUAGUUAAGAAAAGAACUAAACGUAAGCAAGUUUGCACUUCCAUAAUAGACAGAAUAAAAUCAACAAUGAAAUACCUAGAAAAAGAAUGAAAGAACAGUGUUCAGAAAGUCUUAGAA
Long non-coding RNA from Hyaena hyaena (striped hyena), 312 nucleotides. RefSeq lists it as uncharacterized. Lineage: Eukaryota; Metazoa; Chordata; Mammalia; Carnivora; Hyaenidae. The transcript is spliced from 4 exons. The record is from RefSeq and is a predicted model, not a curated record.